CGUUACACCACCCAGGGAUCCCUAAAACUUCUAUUCAGAUAGCUAUAACUGUCUUAAUGAAGGAAUAGAACCAUGGAUUUAUGGAACUUCAGAUGUUAAAGAGACUUCAGGAUUCUCAGUCUGUGAACUAUAAGAUUUAAAGAUUUCAUCCAUCUAUCCAUGAGAGACACAGAGAGAAAAGCAGAGACAUAGGC
This is a long non-coding RNA of Canis lupus familiaris (dog), 194 nucleotides long. RefSeq lists it as uncharacterized. Lineage: Eukaryota; Metazoa; Chordata; Mammalia; Carnivora; Canidae. The record is from RefSeq and is a predicted model, not a curated record. The transcript is spliced from 3 exons.